This is a long non-coding RNA of Acipenser ruthenus (sterlet), 691 nucleotides long. RefSeq lists it as uncharacterized. The record is from RefSeq and is a predicted model, not a curated record. The transcript has 6 exons. Lineage: Eukaryota; Metazoa; Chordata; Actinopteri; Acipenseriformes; Acipenseridae.
UAAAUAAAGCCUCGUGGACAGAGGUUAGGGUGGUCUUAGAUAUUAAUAUAACUAAAUUACUUUCGCUAUAUCUACGGACUGCCUUUUGGUUUUGUCUGCGUGUUUAGUGCAAUGUUGAAGUCCACGUGCUUUAAAGGAAAGGGAGCUGAAACCAUCAAUCAACAGUGCUUUUCCUGAUCAUGAAUGGGGUUGAAAGUCCUCUACACAGGCAAGGAAACUGAGGUCCUCGACCAGCAUGCAUCCCAAAACAUGAAGUUCAAACCCUGCAGAGCACAGGGGCUGAUAACCUAAACUUUCCUAAAGCCGUGUUUCUUGGUAAGAAAUAUGACGUGGGGACUCCUGUAGUGCAAAGUGAUUGAUGUAGAUGUGCAAUACUGAAUCUGGGGGAAGCCUGAGGAAUUUAUGAAAAAAGGUGAAGUGAAGCUGUAUCCUGAACUAUAACCCUGCCAAGGAAGCUCUCCAGUAGCAUCUUCUAACCCUACUUCAAAGCAAUCCCUUCAUCUUUUGCUGCUGCUUUUCUACAGCUGGAGUGCAGUAUCCAAAUCCGUUUAAGAUGUUUGGGGACUUGUGGUGCAUAACCUUCUGGUGGUGUUCAAGAAGCCAUGUAGGGACAUGGUCAUUAGUUUAACAAGCAACACCGCUUAUGUAUGAUUCUAUGGCAACUUGAAAUAAAAAUUAGUUAUAGAUGAAA